CUGAUGUAUAGCCUGAAAAACUCCUAUUUUGAAUAUUCAUCAGCUAAUCACCAUAUAAGUUUGGCCAUGUUCCUGAGAGACGUCUUUACUUUCGAAAUAUGUCAGAACGGAGGAAACGAAACUUAGUGAAUGUGAACUUGAGGUGUUACUGGCAGUUGGCGGUAUCUAAGGAGUGACCAGCAAUACUCUUGUGGAAGGAUAAUGUUACUGAAAAGUCUAAGAUAAAGGGUCUACUGAGAAGCAGUGGGGACAAGUGGAAACGAACCAUGAGAGAAGUGCCUACACAUUACAAGGCACCCUCACACCCGCAUUCACCAACAAGCCAGUUCCCAGGAUGUCCAAGAUGUUGGUGUGACCGACAGCACGGAAGCAGGCGAGACAAUGCGAAAAUUUGGGAUACCACCUCGUAAUCCUAUUUACUUUUCAACCCAGAAAGAAGAAAAUGGCAACAGAAACAAUCCCAAUCAGUGAACACAGGCUAUAAAGUAUUGAAAUGAUCAUAAACUAAAUAGUUUAUGUAGCAGGUAAUUGCUCAUUUGAGCUCCUCUCUCCUCCAAAGUCCUCUUAAGACGAUGAUUUAUGUGUCUCCAGGACUGGAAGGGGCAAGGCUUUAUUCUGACCUUUUCUGUUGGACUUGGUUGCCCUGAAUGGGUGUGUUUUUUGGGCUGUGAAAAAUGAAGAGGAGACUGUUAGUGACAGUAACCUCUCUCAGCCAAGACUGGAACUACUUACCUCAGCUGGGCUGAGAGGGAGGUCUCUGUGGCGUGCAUGAGUGACAGUGGAUAAUCUCUCUAAUCUUUCACAUUUCACGUUCUUUAUUUAGAGUUAUGGUUACAAACUGUGAGACUCUGAUUUUUUUUUUUUACUUUAAUUUUGUUAGUAAAUUUGCUUUAACACCUGGUAGUUUGUGUUCUUUUUGUAACAACCUCUUCUUUCUUUCUUUAUAUUUCAUCUGUUGUUUUAAAUUAUCUUCUCUUCAAACUGCACCUUGAGAUAGUACACAUUGAAAGCUUGCUUAUCUGGCCUUUCCUCCAUCUAUUUCAUGUCACACACUCCUGCACAUUCUUAAUUUAUUGCCUACUUUCCUUUACUGGCUGUCCAGCAAAUUGAUUUGCUUACUUAUGGAAAGGUAUAUGAUAUUUGGCUCUUUCAACUUCAUAAAAAUGAUAGACUCAACUCAAUUAAUUAAUCUUAGCCCAAAGGUUGAAAUUUGAUAAUCAUAAAAAUGUAAUGUCUUGAAUGUAUGCCAACCUCCUUUCCACAGUAAUAAACAUUUUUGGCAGGUAAUUUUUUGUGGGGCCAUAGCAUACUUUUCUUUUAUGAGCACAGACUUCUCUAAUGAUAAGAUUAAUUUACCUAACUAAUAAUAUCUGUCCUUCUUGUGCUAAUGACUCACAAGAAACACAAAAUUAAAAAAGUCAGGUACUGUAUUGUGACAUUGUCAUAAUUUGACAGAAAAUCUAUAGAUCUAAUCUUUAUUUAAACUGAGAGCCUCACAACCACCUACUGCCCAAGAAAGUAUUUUGGCUACUGAAACAGCAACACCUCAGGUUUAUCACUGACUGACUUUGAGGUGAAAAAGAACAUACCACAAUGCCAUGGAAAGAACAAACAGACUAUACACAUUGCAUGACUCAAACACAAGGCUGUGGGGCUAUCCAGUACUAGCGCUAACCAUCCUGCAGCCAUGCAAUAGAAGGAAAAAGCAAUUUUCUACAUCUCCAUUCAUUCUACAACAGGACUCUCAGGUUCUUUUAAACAGGGCCAUCAUACUGUUAGAUUGCUAGAUUGUUUUGUCAAAGUUACAGGUGCAUACAUAAGGCUUCCUUGGGGGCUGUUUUCAAUUUAGUACCGUUAGAUGGACCUUUUCUAGCGCUUAGUGUACAAUAAGACGCUGCUUAGCCCCAUUCUGAUCAGUAUAAUGUUUAGAGCUAUGCAUUCCUGAUAUUGAUCUUUCUUUCUUUUAUAUAUUUUUUUAAAUUACUACUACUUACUACUUACUUUACUUAAAUCUACUUUUAAGGGAGCAAGUGUUGCUGGACCUUUCAUGCCUCUUCUCUAGUGCAUGCUGCACAGUCACAGCUGGGAAAAGUACAAGCCCGAAGUACAAACACAUGAGUAAUAAUAAUAAAAAAAGUGAUCUUAAUUUGAAAGUCUGCAGCAUUUAAGCCCCAUUGCUAAAUUGGAAGAAUACAAUUUGCACAUGCUUGCACACACCCAGAAGUAAAUGCUGUAGGGCCAAUAGAGCUAUUUCAUGAACCAGAGACAUUCUCAUAGCAUCCAGUGGAAAAACACUUUCACAAAGUUCAAACCUCAUAUUUUUUCUAGACAGAUAAUUACAUUAAGCAUAUGAUGGAAAAUAAAACAAAUGUUGAAAAGACAAGGUUGAAGAUUAUAAUGAGCAUUUAAAUCACAAGUUACUUUACACUUUACUUAUUUUGCACAACAUUAUGUGAGACUGUGCCACACCAGCCUGUAAUGCUGAAACACCACUCGUAAUAAGACAUUUUUUCAAUUUGCCUAUCUAUCCAUUCAUUUUAUUCAUACUUAAUCUUAAUUAUUGUCCUGGUAAAGCUAGAGACUAUACUGGCAGGAAUAGGCACAACUGAUGAGUGUAACCAACAUGAACAGAGUGAUGGGUUGACGCACAGGUACGGUCAUGUCAUUUAAAUUGACAUGACAUUGAGCUGACACACUUACUUGUGUAUCCAUGGUAAAUGAAAAGCAUCUGCAUUGGGUUUGAGGUGGUGGGUGUGCUUGGAUUAGAGUACAAACAGAUUGCUGCAGGAUUCCAUAUGACACGACGCAGCACUAAUAGCAGCAUUCCUUAAUACUAUUAAGGUGAUUCAAAGUUAAUUUAAAAUUUCUACAAACCAGUAUUCUAUAUUGACAUCAAAGUCUAAAGUUAGAAUUGCCUAAACAUAAUAUGGAUCUGAAUUACCUUCCACUGACAAGAAACAAUAAAAAUUGCUAAGUAGUUUGAUUCCUAUCAUAGACUGAACAAGAGAGACUCAGCAUAUGCUAUAAAAAAUAACACUUCAUUCUAUUUCAGUGUGGCUUUGCUCUGUCGCAUAAUUUGCAUUCCUUUCAUUAUUUUAUUUUUCUUGUUGCGUGUGCACAUAACAUGCUGCAAAAAAGUGCUUAAUGCUGAGUGUUAAUUGGUAUAAGGUUUGAAGAGAAAGAUGGUUUAGAUGUGGACGCAAGAAUUCAGUACUAGCCUUUUUGUACCUCAGUUAAUUGUUUUGUCUGAUUACUGCUUGUUCUGUCUUACACAUUUUGUAAUUUGUACCUGAUGCUUAUUUGCUUUUAAUUUAACAUUUUUACUAGUUUACGACCAUUGCUUUUUUAAAUAUUGGUGUCUGUGGGUUGAAAUCUUUUUGUUUCUGCCUGAUCAAAACUAGCAAGACAUAUUUUUCAUUGUACUCUAAGGCAUACAAACAAAAUUAAAUUUGAUUUUAAAAUUAAUGAAAUCUUUUAUAUAUUCUACAUAUUGGAAUUACCCUAGGUGCUGUUCACUGUAUAACGUAUAGACACCGCUUCAGUUUGUUGACGCCGAAUGAAAUAAAC
Molecule: long non-coding RNA, 3567 nt
Organism: Polypterus senegalus (gray bichir)
Lineage: Eukaryota; Metazoa; Chordata; Cladistia; Polypteriformes; Polypteridae
Exons: 3
Source: RefSeq, a predicted model, not a curated record